Molecule: unclassified non-coding RNA, 1390 nt
Filed under: Leishmania donovani
Lineage: Eukaryota; Euglenozoa; Kinetoplastea; Trypanosomatida; Trypanosomatidae
Description: gene:LdHU3.36.9330(CDS-product:hypothetical_prote in_conserved)
Source: RNAcentral
AUCAUCUUGUUCUCCUCUUGCACAAUUCUCGCCUCACCGUGCGCAACGCUAAUAGACGUGUAUGUACACCGCCUGCCUGCCCCAGCGCCUCAGUGUCAGCGGUGAACGCAUUACAUAGACGUCUUCUUUUCUCACAUUCUUUGCUUUCCAUACUGUCUCCCUAGCCUCUCUCGCGCGCGAUGCCGCCCAAGGGUUUCAAGAGCAACGUCUCCCCGGAGGAGGUGAUUGCGGCCCGAAGGGAAAAGCUCGAGUUUCUGUCUCAGCAGUGCGCAGCAGUGGAAAAGAUGCUGUCCAUUUGUACGGACCAGGGCCUCCGCCUCAACGCGGAGAUCGCCGAGCUCGAGCGCCGCAUCGCCGAGACCGAGGUGAUGACAGAGCAGGAGAGCCGUGACUUGGAUGUGAAGCUAAAGAUUGUCACGAACUAUGCCACAUCGAAUCUCGACCAACUCCAGCAGCGUCGCCUGAAUAUGGAGAAGACAGCGCACGAGGCGGAGGCGGAGAAUGAGGCGCUGCGUGUGAAGAUAGCGGAGCUGACUGAGCGCAGAGAGGCCGAGAUCGCGCAGUGGGAAGCGAAGGCAGAGGAGCAGCGGGCGCUCAUGAACCAAAAGGCACUGGACUUUGGUAUGCAGCUGAAGGAGACGUUGGCCAGAAGGUACGCAACGGUGUAGCGAGCCGUACUGAUGCUGAUUAUCAGUAUUCGACGAAGCCUGAGCUGCGCGCGCUUCUUGUGUUCGGUGGUUGCUGCCACUCAUUUCUUUUUUGUUGUUGUCCCCUUCCCCUUUCUCCCCGCUCCUCUCGCGCGUAUAUGCGCUUCCCAUUCCGUUGAACAUUUGCAUCUGUGCGUGGUCACGGGAAAGGGAAAGCGUCGGCGCACAUCAGUGUUGGCCGUCAUGUAAACCACUUAAUCUUGUGUGCUGCUGCUUAUGUGUUGGCGUAUCCAUCAUGGCGUUUGUCUAUGUGUGCCAUGUACCAUUUUCGUUCUCUCCCAGAUGUCCACAGCGAUGACCAUGGUUUCUGUCGAUGUCGUCAGCACGUGUGUGUGUGUGUGGGGGGGGGGCAUUAUCACCACACUUAGCAUGUGGUGGAGUGACCCAGCCCUGUCUGCGUUACUGCCGGCACUCUGAGAGAAAAAGGGGGGGGGCAAUGCUUCUCAGGUAGCAGGCCUCAUCCAACUCUUUAUCAACUUUCGAUGCUCCUGGAUUGGCAGCCGUACAGUGGUGGUAGUGUUGCACGACCGUGCCGUUAUCUCUCGUCCCUUUAUUUUUUUUUCCAUUCACACCGAUGUGCACCUCCUCCCUUUAUCUCCGCCCUUUCACCGCGCAUGGCCCACGAAUACACACAUAUAUACACAAAAACACCACUGCAUAUGACUGCUGGUGACUGCCCACAG